Molecule: non-coding RNA, 24 nt
Filed under: Arabidopsis thaliana (thale cress)
Lineage: Eukaryota; Viridiplantae; Streptophyta; Magnoliopsida; Brassicales; Brassicaceae
Source: RNAcentral
AAGUACCAAUAUUAAGAGCACGCC